RNAcentral lists this ribosomal RNA (449 nucleotides) under uncultured bacterium. RNAcentral describes it as "partial 16S ribosomal RNA". It matches the Rfam family "Bacterial small subunit ribosomal RNA", at positions 29 to 523 of the family's 1533-position model. The record is from RNAcentral.
AACGAACGCUGGCGGCAGACUUAACACAUGCAAGUCGAACGAGAUCUUCGGAUCUAGUGGCAGACGGGUGAGGAACACGUGGGAACAUCCCCUUCAGUUCGGAAUAACGUUGGGAAACUAACGCUAAUACCGGAUACGUCCUUCGGGAGAAAGAUUUAUCGCUGAAAGAUUGGCCCGCGUCUGAUUAGCUAGUUGGUGAGGUAAUGGCUCACCAAGGCUACGAUCAGUAGCUGAUCUGAGAGGAUGAUCAGCCACAUUGGGACUGAGACACGGCCCAAACUCCUACGGUAGGCAGCAGUGGGGAAUAUUGGACAAUGGGCGCAAGCCUGAUCCAGCCAUGCCGCGUGAGUGAUGACGGCCUUCGGGUUGUAAAGCUCUUUUGUCCGGGAAGAUAAUGACUGUACCGGAAGAAUAAGCCCCGGCAAACUUCGUGCCAGCCGCCGCGGUAA